UCGAAAAUCAGGCCAUAGCCAUAGUCUGG
RNAcentral lists this non-coding RNA (29 nucleotides) under Mus musculus (house mouse). Lineage: Eukaryota; Metazoa; Chordata; Mammalia; Rodentia; Muridae. The record is from RNAcentral.